RNAcentral lists this ribosomal RNA (517 nucleotides) under uncultured Staphylococcus sp. RNAcentral describes it as "partial 16S ribosomal RNA". The record is from RNAcentral. Lineage: Bacteria; Bacillati; Bacillota; Bacilli; Caryophanales; Staphylococcaceae.
CACGUAGUUAGCCGUGGCUUUCUGAUUAGGUACCGUCAAGAUGUGCACAGUUACUUACAUAUUUGUUCUUCCCUAAUAACAGAGUUUUACGAGCCGAAACCCUUCAUCACUCACGCGGCGUUGCUCCGUCAGGCUUUCGCCCAUUGCGGAAGAUUCCCUACUGCUGCCUCCCGUAGGAGUCUGGACCGUGUCUCAGUUCCAGUGUGGCCGAUCACCCUCUCAGGUCGGCUACGUAUCGUCGCCUUGGUAAGCCGUUACCUUACCAACUAGCUAAUACGGCGCGGGUCCAUCUAUAAGUGAUAGCAAAACCAUCUUUCACUUUAGAACCAUGCGGUUCUAAAUAUUAUCCGGUAUUAGCUCCGGUUUCCCGAAGUUAUCCCAGUCUUAUAGGUAGGUUACCCACGUGUUACUCACCCGUCCGCCGCUAACUUCAAAGGAGCAAGCUCCUUAUCUGUUCGCUCGACUUGCAUGUAUUAGGCACGCCGCCAGCGUUCAUCCUGAGCCAGGAUCAAACUCU